UAUGUAGGCGGGACUGUAAGCGUCUUGUGAAAUCCCUCGGCUUAACCGAGGAAUUGCUUGGCGAACUACUGUCCUUGAGGCAAGUAGGGGUGCAUGGAACUCUUGGUGGAGCGGUGGAAUGCGUAGAUAUCAAGAGGAACGCCGAUGGAGAAAUCAGUGCACUGGGCUUGUCCUGACGCUGAGAUACGAAAGCGUGGGGAGCGAACAGGAUUAGAUACCCUGGUAGUCC
Molecule: ribosomal RNA, 229 nt
Filed under: uncultured bacterium
Lineage: Bacteria
Description: partial 16S ribosomal RNA
Rfam family: Bacterial small subunit ribosomal RNA
Source: RNAcentral